GGUACCACUUAAGAGGCUCUCAAAGGAGGUCAUCUUGAGUUAUGUAGCAGUUUGAAAGCAGCUUAGGCCACAUGAGUCUCAAAAAAAAGUUGGUAUUUAUUUUAAUCACUCUAGACUAGUAGUGUGCACCCAAAACCCCAGCACUCAGAAAAUGAAAGUAGGAAAAUCAUGGGUUUGAAACCAACUGAGGAUACAUGCCAAUUUAAAGCAGAUAUGGACUACAUACAGAGACCCUGUUUCCUCCCACCUCCCAUCCCCCCAAAAAAGGAGUAUUGAAUAUAUAAAAAACAGAUUUUCAGAUCACCAACACUUUUAGUCAGGAAAGGAUACUUUGGGUUUUGUUUAGAGACAAACUGGUUUUUGGCUUGUCUGAAACUAUGUAGACCUAGCUGGCUUCUCACACAACAGAGGUCUACCUUACUUUGACUGCCAAGUGCUAGGAUUAAAGGCAUAGGCCACCAUGCUCAGCCACAAGGAAGAUAACUUUGGGGCUAGCAUUAAAAUUUACUAGUGAAGCAUUUGUCUACCAUGUUCAAGAUCCUGGACACUGAGGGACAGGGUGUGGGGCGCAGGUAAAAAAAAAAAAAAGAGAGAGAGAUAUUUACUGGGACAUGAUUGCUGAAGCUCGUAAUCCCAGCUCUCAGUAGGCUGAGUCAGGAGGAUGGUCUCAAAUUGAAGAAGAGGCCCAAGGUACAGGGGUAACGCCUAUCUCAAUAAGUAAGUGUGGCAUGUGCCUGUAACCCAGAAUUGGGAGGUGGAGGUAGGCAAAUCCUGCUAAGUUGGAGGACAGCCUGAACUAGGUAGUGAGAACCUGUCUCAAAAAAGCAAAACAAAUACUGAGAUUUUUUUUGUCUUUUCCAGAUGAUGAGGAAUCUGAUGAAGAAGCUGUGAAGAAAACUAACAAAUGUGUACUAGUGUGGGAGGGCACAGCCAAAGACCGGAGCUUUGGAGAGAUGAAGUUCAAACAGUGCCCUACAGAGAACAUGGCGCGUGAGCAUUUCAAGAAGCACGGGGCUGAGCACUACUGGGACCUUGCCCUGAGUGAAUCUGUGCUGGAGUCCACCGACUGAGACGACUGCUAGCCUUGUGUCUUCUUCUCACUCUGCUUCCCAACCUUACCCAACUGUGCGUGUGAUCUCAGAACCGUGCCAGGCUGAUACUGGGGCAAAGAGACUACCAAGUUCACCCAGUCAGCCUGGUGCUACCCUUCCUCCUGUAUGUGCAUAUGAUUAAAGAGUUAUUUUUAAAAUUA
RNAcentral lists this long non-coding RNA (1252 nucleotides) under Rattus norvegicus (Norway rat). RNAcentral's name for it is "long non-coding RNA NONRATT016670". The record is from RNAcentral. Lineage: Eukaryota; Metazoa; Chordata; Mammalia; Rodentia; Muridae.